Molecule: transfer RNA, 80 nt
Filed under: Caudoviricetes sp.
Lineage: Duplodnaviria; Heunggongvirae; Uroviricota; Caudoviricetes
Description: tRNA-Gly
Rfam family: tRNA
About the family: Transfer RNA (tRNA) molecules are approximately 80 nucleotides in length. Their secondary structure includes four short double-helical elements and three loops (D, anti-codon, and T loops).
Source: RNAcentral
GCGGUGGUAGCUCAAUUGGUAGAGCGCCAGUCCUCCAAACUGGUUAUUUUUUGUGCGGGUUCGAGUCCCGUCCACCGCUC